UUUAUAGUGAUAUGUUUAUUGAUAUUUUAUGUAAUUUUAGAUGUUUUCGAAUAUUGGUACUAGAUUGUGAGUAUUGGAUUUUUUCAUGAAAAUGACAUUGAAAACUUUGAAACGGUUGGCUAAAAGAAAACAUAUUCUUGGAAACAUUAUUUUUUCAAUACAUUAUCCAACACAUCCAGUUCCUAAUAAAAACAAAUCCAUUGCAUAUUAACCGAUCAUUCUGGGCCGAUACAUGCAAUGGUUUUGAAAGAAUUGUUUCUCUUGCUGUUUGUCCAUUGUCUCCAUUCUGUUGUAGAUAGUGCAGAUUGUCCUACUCAGGCUUGUUUAACUCGAUUGUACAAUUCAAAAGUACUAAGUGCUGAAUAUUAUACAAGACCACUUGGUUCCAGUUCUUCGGGUUUGUCUAAAAAGCCAUCUGGUUCUUCUAGUGGAGGGUGGUUCUGGCGACGACGGUCUUCGUCCAGAUCUAGCAGGUGGUUUGGGAAGAGAGACUUGGAUUACCAUCUCCAUCAUGCAGGUGUGGUUGUCACUAUCGAUCGGUAUGUUGUUGGAAGAAAUCGUUGGCUAAUACAUAAAGGAAGUGACUAUGGCGAUAAAUGGGACACCGUUAUCACAGACGCACAAAAUAUGGACAACAGAACAUGGACUCGAACAAAAUCAAGAGGUGUUGGCGCUUGUAAAAAAUCAGUGAAUGACUUCCUCAGGGCAGCAAGGAUACAUUAUGAUUAUAGGUUGUUAGGCCCAAACUGUCAAACAGCAGCUAACGGAAUGUGGAACAUGAUUGAAAGAUACUGUUAAAAGCUGAAAUAAACAACCAAAAAUAAAUCAGUACUGCAAGAUAACUGUCAGAGUAUUUUAUUUUUAUUGAAUACUCUUGUAUUUUAAAAAACCAUGAAUUGUGAAUUUUACAUUUUUUUCACUUCGUAUAUUUUGGUUCAUGUAUAGUUGGUAUUUUCAACACCAGCAAAACAAAAAGUCAUAUUGGGGCAAAUAUCAUUAAAUGGUUAAUAUAAAGAACAUAAAAUGAAAAUGUAUUGAAUUGAGGGCGAUGGGGCACAAAUGCGAACUUUUACAGUCUGAAUUUGUUAAGGGUGAGUUUUGAAGUAAGGCUAACUGUACGCUUGUUUUUCACAAUUUUAUACUGAAUAUCUAUACCUACAAUAUUUUUUAUUAGAUAUCUCAGUCAAGCGUACAUUUGUUUAUAGUUUUAAUUAACUAGCAAAACUUUUCCUUAUAUGCCCAGUGGAGGACUAUGAUUCAGCAAUUUCAUAAAGUUUAUAAACCCUCGGUUUUAAAUGGUGUUGAGAUUUACAAUACGUAGGUAAAAAGUAAAAUAGCAAACAUACCGAACUUCAAGGAAAAUUCAAAACAGAAAGGCCUUUGUCAAAUGGCAAAAUUGAAAGCUCAAACGCAUCAAACGAAUGGAAAACAACUGUCAUAUUCCCGACUUGGUACAGGCAUUUCCUCAUGUAGAAAGUUGUGGAUAAAGCCUGGUUUUAUAGCUAACUAAACCUCUAUGGUUAUUGGAAUGGUAUCUAACCUUCGACGAAGGUCAAUUAUGUUCAACAUUUACAUCUGGUAAACUUAUUACGAAUUUUAAUUGUUUCUAUUCUCGCCAUGCGUACACUAUGUUCUAUAUAUUAUCAAUAUAAGUAGGUAUAAGGUUUUGUAUGUUAUGGUCAUUGAAUAAACAAGAUUUGUUGCAAA
Mytilus californianus (California mussel) is the source of this 1707-nucleotide long non-coding RNA. RefSeq lists it as uncharacterized. The transcript has 3 exons. Lineage: Eukaryota; Metazoa; Mollusca; Bivalvia; Mytilida; Mytilidae. The record is from RefSeq and is a predicted model, not a curated record.